CCUGACUGCUAUCGGAUUGAUACUAAGCCAUGCGAGUCAUUGUAGCAAUACAAGGCAGACGGCUCAGUAACGCGUAGUCAACCUACCCUGUGGACGGGGAUAACCUCGGGAAACUGAGAAUAAUACCCGAUAGAACAUUAUACCUGGAAUGGUUUAUGUUUCAAAUAAUUUAUUGCCGUAGGAUGGGACUGCGGCCUAUCAGUUUGUUGGUGAGGUAAUGGCCCACCAAGACUAUUACAGGUACGGGCUCUGAGAGGAGUAGCCCGGAGAUGGGUACUGAGACACGGACCCAGGCCCUAUGGGGCGCAGCAGGCGAGAAAACUUUGCAAUGUGCGAAAGCACGACAAGGUUAAUCCGAGUGGUUUCUGCUAAAGGAACCUUUUACCAGUCCUAGAAACACUGGUGAAUAAGGGGUGGGCAAGUUCUGGUGUCAGCCGCCGCGGUAAAACCAGCACCUCAAGUGGUCAGGAUGAUUAUUGGGCCUAAAGCAUCCGUAGCCUGCUUUGUAAGUUUUCGGUUAAAUCCAUACGCUCAACGUAUGGGCUGCCGGGAAUACUGCACAGCUAGGGAGUGGGAGAGGUAGACGGUACUCGGUAGGAAGGGGUAAAAUCCUUUGAUCUAUUGAUGACCACCUGUGGCGAAGGCGGUCUACCAGAACACGUCCGACGGUGAGGGAUGAAAGCUGGGGGAGCAAACCGGAUUAGAUACCCGGGUAGUCCCAGCUGUAAACUAUGCAAACUCAGUGAUGCAUUGGCUUGAUGCCGAUGCAGUGCUGCAGGGAAGCCGUUAAGUUUGCCGCCUGGGAAGUACGUACGCAAGUAUGAAACUUAAAGGAAUUGGCGGGGGAGCACCACAAGGGGUGAAGCCUGCGGUUC
Molecule: ribosomal RNA, 875 nt
Filed under: uncultured marine group I thaumarchaeote
Lineage: Archaea; Thermoproteati; Nitrososphaerota
Description: bacterial SSU rRNA
Rfam family: Archaeal small subunit ribosomal RNA
Source: RNAcentral